UACAGAGGGGGCAAGCGUUGUUCGGAAUUACUGGGCGUAAAGGGCGCGUAGGCGGCCUUCUAAGUCGAACGUGAAAUCCCCGGGCUCAACCCGGGAACUGCGUCCGAUACUGGAAGGCUUGAAUCCGGGAGAGGGAUGCGGAAUUCCAGGUGUAGCGGUGAAAUGCGUAGAUAUCUGGAGGAACACCGGUGGCGAAGGCGGCAUCCUGGGACCGGCAUUGACGCUGAGGCGCGAAAGCCAGGGGAGCAAAGCAGG
This 255-nucleotide ribosomal RNA is filed under the name uncultured bacterium. Its description in RNAcentral is "partial 16S ribosomal RNA". It matches the Rfam family "Bacterial small subunit ribosomal RNA", at positions 524 to 777 of the family's 1533-position model. The record is from RNAcentral.